GAUGAACGCUGACAGAAUGCUUAACACAUGCAAGUCUACUUGAAUUUGGGUUUUUUAACUUAGAUUUGGGUGGCGGACGGGUGAGUAACGCGUAAAGAACUUGCCUCACAGCUAGGGACAACAUUUGGAAACGAAUGCUAAUACCUGAUAUUAUGAUUAUAAGGCAUCUUAGAAUUAUGAAAGCUAUAUGCGCUGUGAGAGAGCUUUGCGUCCCAUUAGCUAGUUGGAGAGGUAACGGCUCACCAAGGCGAUGAUGGGUAGCCGGCCUGAGAGGGUGAACGGCCACAAGGGGACUGAGACACGGCCCUUACUCCUACGGGAGGCAGCAGUGGGGAAUAUUGGACAAUGGACCAAGAGUCUGAUCCAGCAAUUCUGUGUGCACGAUGACGUUUUUCGGAAUGUAAAGUGCUUUCAGUUGGGAAGAAAAAAUGACGGUACCAACAGAAGAAGUGACGGCUAAAUACGUG
Molecule: ribosomal RNA, 467 nt
Filed under: uncultured bacterium
Lineage: Bacteria
Description: partial 16S ribosomal RNA
Rfam family: Bacterial small subunit ribosomal RNA
Source: RNAcentral